This 494-nucleotide ribosomal RNA is filed under the name uncultured bacterium. Its description in RNAcentral is "partial 16S ribosomal RNA". It matches the Rfam family "Bacterial small subunit ribosomal RNA", at positions 28 to 507 of the family's 1533-position model. The record is from RNAcentral.
GACGAACGCUGGCGGCGUGCUUAACACAUGCAAGUCGAACGGUGAAGCGCCUUCCUUUUUGGUGGGUGUGGAUGAGUGGCGAACGGGUGAGUAACACGUGAGUAACCUGCCCCCUUCUUCUGGAUAACCGCAUGAAAGUGUGGCUAAUACGGGAUAUUCUGGGUCUGUCGCAUGAUGGGUCUGGGAAAGAUAUUGUUUCGGUGGGGGAUGGGCUCGCGGCCUAUCAGCUUGUUGGUGGGGUGAUGGCCUACCAAGGCGGUGACGGGUAGCCGGCCUGAGAGGGUGGACGGUCACACUGGGACUGAGACACGGCCAAGACUCCUACGGGAGGCAGCAGUGGGGAAUAUUGCACAAUGGGCGCAAGCCUGAUGCAGCGACGCCGCGUGAGGGAUGGAGGCCUUCGGGUUGUGAACCUCUUUCGCCAGUGAAGCAGGCCUGCCUCGUUUGUGGGUGGGUUGACGGUAGCUGGAUAAGAAGCGCCGGCUAACUACGUG